GUGUUUUUAUAUAUAUUUUUGUCGCAUAAUUUAAAAGGAAUUUAUUUGAGCUUAGCUCCAGUGCGAACACCAAUAUUGUUUCGUAGCCUAUCACAUAGACGUUAGCUCAAUUGCCAGCCGCAGGCUCAUUCUACACGUAUGCUAAUCACGUCCAAGAGCCGUUCGGCUCGUACACACGUAAAAACGCACAAGUUGUUACAAGUCUGCAAACAAGUUGUUGCAAAUCUGUUCACAAGUUGUCUCCACAUUGCUUGUUCCCGGUUGUUGUAACAAGUUUGAAACAAGCUGUUAACGACUUGUAACAAGCUUGAUGGCAUUAUCAAACUUGUUACAAGGUUGCUCUAACAAGUCGAUACAAUCAUGAUAUAACAAG
Paramuricea clavata is the source of this 373-nucleotide non-coding RNA. NCBI's taxonomy places the organism in Eukaryota, Metazoa, Cnidaria, Anthozoa, Malacalcyonacea, Plexauridae. The record is from the annotation of a GenBank genome assembly.